Molecule: ribosomal RNA, 486 nt
Filed under: uncultured bacterium
Lineage: Bacteria
Description: partial 16S ribosomal RNA
Rfam family: Bacterial small subunit ribosomal RNA
Source: RNAcentral
AUUGAACGCUGGCGGCAUGCCUUACACAUGCAAGUCGAACGGCAGCACGGGUGCUUGCACCUGGUGGCGAGUGGCGAACGGGUGAGUAAUACAUCGGAACAUGUCCUGUAGUGGGGGAUAGCCCGGCGAAAGCCGGAUUAAUACCGCAUACGAUCUACGGAUGACAGCGUGGGACCUUCGGGCCUCGCGCUAUAGGGUUGGCCGAUGGCUGAUUAGCUAGUUGGUGGGGUAAAGGCCUACCAAGGCGACGAUCAGUAGCUGGUCUGAGAGGACGACCAGCGACAUUGGAACUGAGACACGGCCCAGACUCCUACGGGAGGCAGCAGUGGGGAAUUUUGGACAAUGGGCGAAAGCCUGAUCCAGCAAUGCCGCGUGUGUGAAGAAGGCCUUCGGGUUGUAAAGCACUUUUGUCCGGAAAGAAAUCCUUGGCUCUAAUACAGUCGGGGGAUGACGGUACCGGAAGAAUAAGCACCGGCUAACUACGUG